UGGGGAAUAUUGGACAAUGGGCGAAAGCCUGAUCCAGCAAUGCCGCGUGAGUGAUGAAGGCCUUAGGGUUGUAAAGCUCUUUUACCCGGGAUGAUAAUGACAGUACCGGGAGAAUAAGCUCCGGCUAACUCCGUGCCAGCAGCCGCGGUAAUACGGAGGGAGCUAGCGUUAUUCGGAAUUAUUGGGCGUAAAGAGCUCGUAGGUGGUUCGUCACGUCGGAUGUGAAAAUCUGGGGCUCAACCCCAGACCUGCAUUCGAUACGGGCGAGCUAGAGUGUGGUAGGGGAGACUGGAAUUCCUGGUGUAGCGGUGGAAUGCGCAGAUAUGCGGAGGAACACCGAUGGCGAAGGCAAUCCCCUGGGCCUGUACUGACGCUCAUGCACGAAAGCGUGGGGAGCAAACAGG
Molecule: ribosomal RNA, 404 nt
Filed under: uncultured bacterium
Lineage: Bacteria
Description: bacterial SSU rRNA
Rfam family: Bacterial small subunit ribosomal RNA
Source: RNAcentral